RNAcentral lists this transfer RNA (80 nucleotides) under Escherichia phage JLBYU32. RNAcentral describes it as "tRNA-Leu". It matches the Rfam family "tRNA". Rfam says of the family: Transfer RNA (tRNA) molecules are approximately 80 nucleotides in length. Their secondary structure includes four short double-helical elements and three loops (D, anti-codon, and T loops). Lineage: Duplodnaviria; Heunggongvirae; Uroviricota; Caudoviricetes; Andersonviridae. The record is from RNAcentral.
UGUUCCAGUAUCCCAAUUGGCAGAGGAUGCAAGCUCAAACCUUGUACUAGUGACGGUUCGAAUCCGUCUUGGAACACCAA